RNAcentral lists this ribosomal RNA (207 nucleotides) under uncultured bacterium. Its description in RNAcentral is "partial 16S ribosomal RNA". It matches the Rfam family "Bacterial small subunit ribosomal RNA", at positions 568 to 774 of the family's 1533-position model. The record is from RNAcentral.
CGCGUAGGCGGAUCAGAAAGUUGGGGGUGAAAUCCCAGGGCUCAACCCUGGAACUGCCUCCAAAACUCCUGGUCUUGAGUUCGAGAGAGGUGAGUGGAAUUCCGAGUGUAGAGGUGAAAUUCGUAGAUAUUCGGAGGAACACCAGUGGCGAAGGCGGCUCACUGGCUCGAUACUGACGCUGAGGUGCGAAAGUGUGGGGAGCAAACA